CCAGGCUUCUUGGAAGACUUCAAACUAUGCCAAAUGGUCUGAUUUCACCAUAGAGCUGCUGUUUUGGCUCUGAACUCAAUCCGAUAAGCUUGCUGGAGGUAUCGCAGAGCACUUGGCAGCUUUCCUAUUUGAAAAGAAAGCCUCUCCCCUCUACAGAACAGCUGAUCGUCUAUCAGCGAUAGACCCUGAUGGCGUGAAUUAC
Molecule: long non-coding RNA, 202 nt
Organism: Homo sapiens (human)
Lineage: Eukaryota; Metazoa; Chordata; Mammalia; Primates; Hominidae
Gene: PSMD14-DT
Product: PSMD14 divergent transcript
Source: Ensembl